GCAGUCGAACGGCAGCAUGGGUGCUUGCACCUGAUGGCGAGUGGCGAACGGGUGAGUAAUACAUCGGAACGUACCAAGUAAUGGGGGAUAACUACUCGAAAGAGUGGCUAAUACCGCAUACGCCCUAAGGGGGAAAGCAGGGGAUCUUCGGACCUUGCGUUAUUUGAGCGGCCGAUGUCUGAUUAGCUAGUUGGUGGGGUAAGAGCCUACCAAGGCGACGAUCAGUAGCGGGUCUGAGAGGAUGAUCCGCCACACUGGGACUGAGACACGGCCCAGACUCCUACGGGAGGCAGCAGUGGGGAAUUUUGGACAAUGGGCGAAAGCCUGAUCCAGCCAUGCCGCGUGUAUGAAGAAGGCCUUCGGGUUGUAAAGUACUUUUGUUAGGGAAGAAAAGCUUGUUGCUAAUAUCAGUGAGCCAUGACGGUACCUAAAGAAUAAGCACCGGCUAACUACGUGCCAGCAGCCGCGGUAAUACGUAGGGUGCAAGCGUUAAUCGGAAUUACUGGGCGUAAAGCGAGCGCAGGCGGUUAUUUAAGUCAGGUGUGAAAGCCCCGAGCUCAACUUGGGACGUGCAUUUGAAACUGGAUAACUAGAGUGUGUCAGAGGGGGGUAGAAUUCCACGUGUAGCAGUGAAAUGCGUAGAGAUGUGGAGGAAUACCGAUGGCGAAGGCAGCCCCCUGGGAUAACACUGACGCUCAUGCUCGAAAGCGUGGGUAGCAAACAGGAUUAGAUACCCUGGUAGUCCACGCCCUAAACGAUGUCAAUUAGCUGUUGGGAGAUUAAAAGCUCUUGGUAGCGUAGCUAACGCGUGAAAUUGACCGCCUGGGGAGUACGGUCGCAAGAUA
Molecule: ribosomal RNA, 845 nt
Filed under: activated sludge bacterium GC_R2A_S_53
Lineage: Bacteria
Description: bacterial SSU rRNA
Rfam family: Bacterial small subunit ribosomal RNA
Source: RNAcentral